Long non-coding RNA from Hylaeus volcanicus, 970 nucleotides. RefSeq lists it as uncharacterized. The record is from RefSeq and is a predicted model, not a curated record. The transcript is spliced from 2 exons. NCBI's taxonomy places the organism in Eukaryota, Metazoa, Arthropoda, Insecta, Hymenoptera, Colletidae.
AAUUAAAAAUAUUGAAGACAUAGAAGAAAUUGAAGAUAUUGAAGAAAUUGAAAAUAUUGAAGACAUAGCAGAUAUUGAAGAAAUUGAAAUAUUGAAGACAGAAGACAUGGAAGAGAUAGAAAACAUAAAAGAUACUUCGCCGAAAAAACGAAAGAUGAAGAGUUUAAUCAACUUGAAUCGUUUGUGUCGCCAAAACGCAUAUUGCUACCCUCUAUUUAACCGACCCCUUCGAGAGACAUUUCCAGCACCGAGCAACGUAAGCUGGCUGUACGUGUAAGGCAUUAGCGUCAUCGUACCAAAUGUCAGGGUUGAAUCGCUGGUAAUAACCCGGUUCUUUAACUAUGCAGAUUCACGAGCACGUACUCGCACACGAGUCGACCCUGCUAUCGACGUCGUUAACGAUCACGUAGAUGGCCCACGAUCUUGAUCCAACAGUGGGGAAACGUAUCGAUCGUAGAUCGACGUUCGAUGCAUCACCACAAGAAAUGUGAAUAGCCCAACGACUUCCACCGUGAGAAACCGCCGGUACGGACACCGACCAUACACUGAAUCGAUAACAGAGACGUUACCUUGACGUUUGGGCUUAUGGACUCCUACGCACCUCUAGGACCACGCUUUACACUCAAGCUGAAGUACCAGGAAGUAAUUGAGAUAAAAAUCUGAAAUUUUCAGGCCUUCUUCCUAUCAUUACGAGUAACAACUCUAGGAAAUUUCGAACUGUUUCGUCAAUUUUUACCGGAGUUACAAAAUAAAAGGUAGGCGAGUGAAAAAUAUUUUGCACAAGUGGCUUCAUAUUUACUUGCCUGAAGUACCAGGAAGUAAUUGAGAUAAAAAUCUGAAAAUUUCAGGCCUUCUUCCUAUCAUUACGAGUAACAACUCUAGGAAAUUUCGAACUGUUUCAUCAAUUUUUACCGGAGUUAUAAAAUAAACGUUGUAUUAAAUGUUGUUAAUACAGGUUUCAUUCGUUGUA